UACGGAGGGUGCGAGCGUUGUCCGGAAUCAUUGGGCGUAAAGGGCGCGUAGGUGGCCCGGUCAGUUCGUGGUGAAAGCGCGGGGCUCAACCCUGCGUCGGCCAUGAAUACUGCCGCGGCUGGAGCACUGUAGAGGCAGGCGGAAUUCCGGGUGUAGCGGUGGAAUGCGUAGAGAUCCGGAAGAACACCGGUGGCGAAGGCGGCUCUCUGGGCCUUACCUGACGCUGAGGAGCGAAAGCGUGGGUAGCGAACAGG
This 254-nucleotide ribosomal RNA is filed under the name uncultured bacterium. RNAcentral's name for it is "partial 16S ribosomal RNA". It matches the Rfam family "Bacterial small subunit ribosomal RNA", at positions 524 to 776 of the family's 1533-position model. The record is from RNAcentral.